Long non-coding RNA from Cebus imitator (Panamanian white-faced capuchin), 142 nucleotides. RefSeq lists it as uncharacterized. The transcript is spliced from 3 exons. Lineage: Eukaryota; Metazoa; Chordata; Mammalia; Primates; Cebidae. The record is from RefSeq and is a predicted model, not a curated record.
GGGUCUCAUUCUGUUGCUCAAGUUGGAGUGCCAUGGUGCUAAUCAGGGCUCACUGCUGCUUCAAACUUGCUGAGCUCAGGUGAUCCUUCCACCUCAGCCUCCUGAGCAGCUGGGACUACAGGCAUGUGCCACCACACCUGGC